This 81-nucleotide small RNA is filed under the name Sinorhizobium meliloti 2011. Its description in RNAcentral is "putative ncRNA". The record is from RNAcentral. Lineage: Bacteria; Pseudomonadati; Pseudomonadota; Alphaproteobacteria; Hyphomicrobiales; Rhizobiaceae.
AUGUAAAUCUGCGUCUUCUCACGAUCCGUCGGGGCAGGUAGGGCCACGACACGAAAGACGCGUGGGCUGACUCGCUCAGUG